Molecule: microRNA precursor, 107 nt
Filed under: Tupaia belangeri (northern tree shrew)
Lineage: Eukaryota; Metazoa; Chordata; Mammalia; Scandentia; Tupaiidae
Description: miRNA (ENSTBEG00000020073.1)
Source: RNAcentral
AAAGAGAAUCUUGAUAAUAAUUAAAAGAAUGACAGCAGGUCAGGCUUGUUGAUGCAUUUUAUUGUGAGAUGGGGAAGUCUGGUAAAAAACUAGAAAAUGACCAUGAU